CAGGUGCUGCAUGGCUGUCGUCAGCUCGUGUUGUGAAAUGUUGGGUUAAGUCCCGUAACGAGCGCAACCCUUGUCCUUAUUUGCCAGCGAGUAAUGUCGGGAACUCUAAGGAGACUGCCGGUGACAAACCGGAGGAAGGUGGGGACGACGUCAAGUCAUCAUGGCCCUUACGGGUAGGGCUACACACGUGCUACAAUGGCCGGUACAAAGGGCUGCGAGCUCGCGAGAGUCAGCAAAUCCCUUAAAACCGGUCUCAGUCCGGAUCGGAGUCUGCAACUCGACUCCGUGAAGUCGGAAUCGCUAGUAAUCGUGAAUCAGAAUGUCACGGUGAAUACGUUCCCGGGCCUU
RNAcentral lists this ribosomal RNA (348 nucleotides) under uncultured Gammaproteobacteria bacterium. RNAcentral's name for it is "bacterial SSU rRNA". It matches the Rfam family "Bacterial small subunit ribosomal RNA", at positions 1035 to 1382 of the family's 1533-position model. Lineage: Bacteria; Pseudomonadati; Pseudomonadota; Gammaproteobacteria. The record is from RNAcentral.